This 301-nucleotide ribosomal RNA is filed under the name uncultured bacterium. RNAcentral describes it as "partial 16S ribosomal RNA". It matches the Rfam family "Bacterial small subunit ribosomal RNA", at positions 509 to 807 of the family's 1533-position model. The record is from RNAcentral.
CAGCCGCCGCGGGAAUACGAAGGGUGCAAGCGUUACUCGGAAUUACUGGGCGUAAAGCGUGUGUAGGUGGUUGUUUAAGUCUGUCGUGAAAGCCCUGGGCUCAACCUGGGAAUUGCGAUGGAUACUGGGCGACUAGAGUGCGGUAGAGGAUAGUGGAAUUUCCGGUGUAGUAGUGAAAUGCGUAGAGAUCGGAAGGAACAUCUGCGGCGAAGGCGACUAUCUGGGCCAACACUGACACUGAGACACGAAAGCGUGGGGAGCAAACAGGAUUAGAUACCCGCGUAGUCCCUGUCUCUUAUAC